RNAcentral lists this long non-coding RNA (269 nucleotides) under Brassica rapa (field mustard). RNAcentral describes it as "long non-coding RNA (BRAP_LNC005256)". Lineage: Eukaryota; Viridiplantae; Streptophyta; Magnoliopsida; Brassicales; Brassicaceae. The record is from RNAcentral.
AAAGAUCAUGUCUCAAUCAAACAUGGAGUUUGCACAGACAACCAACACACAAACUCACAAAUAAUAUGAACAAAGUGCUAUAUCUUGCGCAACGCACGGAUUUACUCUAGUUUACUCUAAAAAAAAGAAUGCCAUUAGAGAUGCUCUAAGGAAUGCUAUCGGAAAUGUAAACAUGUCAUCAAUUUAUAUAUUUUAUAUAAUGAAAUAAAUUAGUCUAACCCAAUAAAUUUUCACGUUUAUCAAUUAUUCGGAAAAAAAUUACUUCAUUU